RNAcentral lists this ribosomal RNA (600 nucleotides) under uncultured Brevundimonas sp. RNAcentral's name for it is "bacterial SSU rRNA". It matches the Rfam family "Bacterial small subunit ribosomal RNA", at positions 28 to 674 of the family's 1533-position model. Lineage: Bacteria; Pseudomonadati; Pseudomonadota; Alphaproteobacteria; Caulobacterales; Caulobacteraceae. The record is from RNAcentral.
AGUGAACGCUGGCGGCAGGCCUAACACAUGCAAGUCGAACGAACUCUUCGGAGUUAGUGGCGGACGGGUGAGUAACACGUGGGAACGUGCCUUUAGGUUCGGAAUAACUCAGGGAAACUUGUGCUAAUACCGAAUGUGCCCUUCGGGGGAAAGAUUUAUCGCCUUUAGAGCGGCCCGCGUCUGAUUAGCUAGUUGGUGGGGUAAUGGCCCACCAAGGCUACGAUCAGUAGCUGGUCUGAGAGGAUGACCAGCCACAUUGGGACUGAGACACGGCCCAAACUCCUACGGGAGGCAGCAGUGGGGAAUCUUGCGCAAUGGGCGAAAGCCUGACGCAGCCAUGCCGCGUGGAUGAUGAAGGUCUUAGGAUUGUAAAAUCCUUUCACCGGUGAAGAUAAUGACUGUAGCCGGAGAAGAAGCCCCGGCUAACUUCGUGCCAGCAGCCGCGGUAAUACGAAGGGGGCUAGCGUUGUUCGGAUUUACUGGGCGUAAAGCGCACGUAGGCGGACUUUUAAGUCAGGGGUGAAAUCCCGGGGCUCAACCCCGGAACUGCCUUUGAUACUGGGAGUCUUGAGUUCGAGAGAGGUGAGUGGAAUUGCGAGU